Molecule: ribosomal RNA, 1196 nt
Filed under: actinobacterium PA-45
Lineage: Bacteria; Bacillati; Actinomycetota; Actinomycetes
Description: bacterial SSU rRNA
Rfam family: Bacterial small subunit ribosomal RNA
Source: RNAcentral
AAAGUACCUAGUGGCGAACGGGUGAGUAUCACGUGAGCAACCAACCCCAGAGUUCGGGAUAACACCGGGAAACCGAUGCUAAUACCGAAUACCUUCUACGUUUCGCAUGGAACAUUGAAGAAAGAUUUAUCGCUUUGGGACGGGCUCGCGGCCUAUCAGCUAGUUGGUGAGGUAACGGCUCACCAAGGCAUCGACGGGUAGCUGGUCUGAGAGGACGAUCAGCCACACUGGGACUGAGACACGGCCCAGACUCCUACGGGAGGCAGCAGUGGGGAAUAUUGCGCAAUGGGCGAAAGCCUGACGCAGCAACGCCGCGUGGAGGAUGAAGGCUCUCGGGUUGUAAACUCCUUUCAGCAGGGAAGAAAUUGACGGUACCUGCAGAAGAAGCCCCGGCCAACUACGUGCCAGCAGCCGCGGUAAGACGUAGGGGGCAAGCGUUGUCCGGAUUUAUUGGGCGUAAAGAGCUCGUAGGCGGCUUAGCAAGUCAGAUGUGAAACCCUCAGGCUUAACCUGGGGCCGCCAUCUGAUACUGCUAUAGCUAGAGUUCGGUAGGGGACCAUGGAAUUCCUGGAGUAGCGGUGAAAUGCGCAGAUCUCAGGAGGAACACCAGCGGCGAAGGCGGUGGUCUAGGCCGAUACUGACGCUGAGGAGCGAAAGCGUGGGGAGCGAACAGGAUUAGAUACCCUGGUAGUCCACGCUGUAAACGUUGGGCACUAGGUGUGGGACCUUUCGACGGGUUCCGUGCCGUAGCUAACGCAUUAAGUGCCCCGCCUGGGGGAGUACGGCCGCAAGGCUAAAACUCAAAGGAAUUGACGGGGGCCCGCACAAUCGGCGGAGCAUGCGGCUUAAUUCGAUGCAACGCGAAAAACCUCACCUGGGUUUGACUUGUAGGGAAAAGCUGCAGAAAUGCAAUGUCCUUCGGGGCCCUACCCAGGUGGUGCAUGGCUGUCGUCAGCUCGUGUCGUGACAUGUUGGGUUAAGUCCCGCAACGAACGCAACCCUUGUCCUAUGUUGCCACCGGGUAAUGCCGGGGACUCUUACGAAACUGCCGGAAUUAAUUCCGAAGAACGGUGGGGACAACGUCAAAUCUUCAUGCCCCUUUCUUCCCGGGCUGCCACCAGGUUCAAUGGUCGAAACAAAAGGUUGCCGCCCCCCCAAGGGGAGCGAAUGCCUAAAAAUCGGGUCCAUUUCCGAUC